This 1356-nucleotide ribosomal RNA is filed under the name Kocuria sp. RNAcentral's name for it is "bacterial SSU rRNA". It matches the Rfam family "Bacterial small subunit ribosomal RNA", at positions 78 to 1444 of the family's 1533-position model. The record is from RNAcentral. Lineage: Bacteria; Bacillati; Actinomycetota; Actinomycetes; Micrococcales; Micrococcaceae.
GCUUGCUGGGCGGAUUAGUGGCGAACGGGUGAGUAAUACGUGAGUAACCUGCCCUUGACUCUGGGAUAAGCCUGGGAAACUGGGUCUAAUACUGGAUACUACCUCUUACCGCAUGGUGGGUGGUGGAAAGGGUUUUACUGGUUUUGGAUGGGCUCACGGCCUAUCAGCUUGUUGGUGGGGUAAUGGCUCACCAAGGCGACGACGGGUAGCCGGCCUGAGAGGGUGACCGGCCACACUGGGACUGAGACACGGCCCAGACUCCUACGGGAGGCAGCAGUGGGGAAUAUUGCACAAUGGGCGGAAGCCUGAUGCAGCGACGCCGCGUGAGGGAUGACGGCCUUCGGGUUGUAAACCUCUUUCAGUAGGGAAGAAGCGAGAGUGACGGUACCUGCAGAAGAAGCGCCGGCUAACUACGUGCCAGCAGCCGCGGUAAUACGUAGGGCGCAAGCGUUGUCCGGAAUUAUUGGGCGUAAAGAGCUCGUAGGCGGUUUGUCGCGUCUGCUGUGAAAGCCCGGGGCUCAACCCCGGGUCUGCAGUGGGUACGGGCAGACUAGAGUGCAGUAGGGGAGACUGGAAUUCCUGGUGUAGCGGUGAAAUGCGCAGAUAUCAGGAGGAACACCGAUGGCGAAGGCAGGUCUCUGGGCUGUUACUGACGCUGAGGAGCGAAAGCAUGGGGAGCGAACAGGAUUAGAUACCCUGGUAGUCCAUGCCGUAAACGUUGGGCACUAGGUGUGGGGGACAUUCCACGUUUUCCGCGCCGUAGCUAACGCAUUAAGUGCCCCGCCUGGGGAGUACGGCCGCAAGGCUAAAACUCAAAGGAAUUGACGGGGGCCCGCACAAGCGGCGGAGCAUGCGGAUUAAUUCGAUGCAACGCGAAGAACCUUACCAAGGCUUGACAUUCACCGGACCGCCCCAGAGAUGGGGUUUCCCUUCGGGGCUGGUGGACAGGUGGUGCAUGGUUGUCGUCAGCUCGUGUCGUGAGAUGUUGGGUUAAGUCCCGCAACGAGCGCAACCCUCGUUCUAUGUUGCCAGCACGUGAUGGUGGGGACUCAUAGGAGACUGCCGGGGUCAACUCGGAGGAAGGUGGGGAUGACGUCAAAUCAUCAUGCCCCUUAUGUCUUGGGCUUCACGCAUGCUACAAUGGCCGGUACAAAGGGUUGCGAUACUGUGAGGUGGAGCUAAUCCCAAAAAGCCGGUCUCAGUUCGGAUUGAGGUCUGCAACUCGACCUCAUGAAGUCGGAGUCGCUAGUAAUCGCAGAUCAGCAACGCUGCGGUGAAUACGUUCCCGGGCCUUGUACACACCGCCCGUCAAGUCACGAAAGUUGGUAACACCCGAAGCCGGUGGCCUAACCCCUU